This 488-nucleotide ribosomal RNA is filed under the name uncultured Bacteroidales bacterium. RNAcentral describes it as "bacterial SSU rRNA". It matches the Rfam family "Bacterial small subunit ribosomal RNA", at positions 28 to 505 of the family's 1533-position model. The record is from RNAcentral. Lineage: Bacteria; Pseudomonadati; Bacteroidota; Bacteroidia; Bacteroidales.
GAUGAACGCUAGCGACAGGCCUAACACAUGCAAGUCGAGGGGUAACAGAUAUAAAGCUUGCUUUAUAUGCUGACGACCGGCGCACGGGUGAGUAACACGUAUGCAACCUACCUUUUACAGGAGAAUAACCCAGAGAAAUUUGGACUAAUACUCCAUAAUGUUUUUGUAUCGCAUGAUAUGAGAAUUAAAGUUCCGGCGGUAAAAGAUGGGCAUGCGUCCUAUUAGUUAGUUGGUAAGGUAACGGCUUACCAAGGCUAUGAUAGGUAGGGGUUCUGAGAGGAUAAUCCCCCACAUUGGUACUGAGACACGGACCAAACUCCUACGGGAGGCAGCAGUGAGGAAUAUUGGUCAAUGGCCGCAAGGCUGAACCAGCCAUGUCGCGUGAAGGAUGACUGCCCUAUGGGUUGUAAACUUCUUUUGUAUGGGAAGAAAGGUAUCUACGUGUAGAUAUUUGCCGGUACCAUACGAAUAAGGAUCGGCUAACUCCG